AAGAGAGAGACAUGCGCGCAUAUCAAUAAGCGGAGGAAAAGAAACUAACAAGGAUUCCCUUAGUAACGGCGAGUGAAGCGGGAAGAGCUCAAAUUUGAAAUCUUCAAGGUUUUACCUUGACGAAUUGUAGUUUAAAGAAGUGUUUUCUGCUGAAGUUUUGGUAAAAGUUCUUUGGAAUAGGACAUCAUAGAGGGUGAGAAUCCCGUAUUUGACCAUUAUUUUCAGCUUUGUGAUACACUUUCAAAGAGUCGGAUUGUUUGGGAAUGCAGUCCAAAAUGGGUGGUAAAUUUCAUCUAAAGCUAAAUAUUGGCGAGAGACCGAUAGCGAACAAGUACCGUGAGGGAAAGAUGAAAAGAACUUUGAAAAGAGAGUUAAACAGUACGUGAAAUUGUCAAAAGGGAAGCGUUUGACACCAGUGUUGUUUUUCUCGAAAAUCAAUUAAAAAUGGCUCGAUUUUGUAUUGCUUGAGACCUUAAAAGCUCACUGUACAUUUUUCGUGUCUUUUUUAAUGCACUUUUCGUUUAACAAGUCAACAUCAGUUUCUUUUGUUGUAAAAGGGUCAUUGGAAGGUGGCUUUCUUUUCGGAGAAAGUGUUUAUAGCCUUUUGCCUCUGCAAUCGGAGAGACUGAGGUCUGCAGCGUAGACUCUUCGGGGUUAGAUACAUUUGUGCUAAGUUAUAGCUUUUUAUAGACAACUUGUUGACUAUAAUUAGUCUUGUAGCUUACUCGCUUAUGCUAUUUUACCUACGCUUAGGAUGUUGAAGAUGUAGCACAUCAU
Molecule: ribosomal RNA, 777 nt
Filed under: uncultured Neocallimastigales
Lineage: Eukaryota; Fungi; Neocallimastigomycota; Neocallimastigomycetes; Neocallimastigales
Description: partial large subunit ribosomal RNA
Rfam family: Eukaryotic large subunit ribosomal RNA
Source: RNAcentral